RNAcentral lists this ribosomal RNA (501 nucleotides) under uncultured bacterium. RNAcentral's name for it is "bacterial SSU rRNA". It matches the Rfam family "Bacterial small subunit ribosomal RNA", at positions 28 to 526 of the family's 1533-position model. The record is from RNAcentral.
GAUGAACGCUAGCGGCAGGCCUAACACAUGCAAGUCGAGGGGUAUAGAAGAGCUUGCUUUUCUUGAGACCGGCGCACGGGUGCGUAACGCGUAUGCAACCUACCUUUUACAAAGGGAUAGCCCGGAGAAAUCCGGAUUAAUACCUUAUAGUAUUGUUUCAUAUCCUUAUGAAGUAAUUAAAGUUUCGGCGGUAAAAGAUGGGCAUGCGUCCUAUUAGCUAGAUGGAGUGGUAACGGCACCCCAUGGCAACGAUAGGUAGGGGUCCUGAGAGGGAGAUCCCCCACACUGGUACUGAGACACGGACCAGACUCCUACGGGAGGCAGCAGUGAGGAAUAUUGGACAAUGGGCGAGAGCCUGAUCCAGCCAUGCCGCGUGCAGGAAGACUGCCCUAUGGGUUGUAAACUGCUUUUAUACAAGAAGAAUAAGGGAUACGAGUAUUCCGAUGACGGUAUUGUAUGAAUAAGCACCGGCUAACUCCGUGCCAGCAGCCGCCGUAAAAC